Selaginella moellendorffii is the source of this 316-nucleotide long non-coding RNA. RefSeq lists it as uncharacterized. The transcript is spliced from 2 exons. The record is from RefSeq and is a predicted model, not a curated record. Lineage: Eukaryota; Viridiplantae; Streptophyta; Lycopodiopsida; Selaginellales; Selaginellaceae.
UUCUUGCUCCCCUUGCUGUUCGAGUGGCGACCCUCCCUCACAGCAGUGCCCGUUGGAGCUGGGUGGUGCCACUCGUAUCUCUGGCUUGUAACGUGGCAUGGGCUUGGUUUGCGACCCUCGAUGACAACAAGGCCAUCCUAAUGUCCACCAUGUUUGCCGCGGGCUGUGCAGCAAUUCUUACCUGCCUGAUGCUAGUUUGAGGCCUUUCUAGUUUUUACUCUACAAACAUUGUUGUAGAGUUCGCUCGCUCGCUGAGUUUUGUUUUUUUUUACUCUGCUCGACGUGGGGUUCGCGAAAUAAAAUUGUUCUAUCACCA